RNAcentral lists this long non-coding RNA (426 nucleotides) under Phoenix dactylifera (date palm). RNAcentral's name for it is "long non-coding RNA (PDAC_LNC004330)". Lineage: Eukaryota; Viridiplantae; Streptophyta; Magnoliopsida; Arecales; Arecaceae. The record is from RNAcentral.
UAAAACGUAAUACAAGAUCUACGAUAAGAUUAAGGUAGAUUACUUACAGUGAUUCGUUUUCUCCCAAGUUUCUUACGUCCUGGUGACGGAUCCUGAGUCACCUAAAAGCACAUUAUAAUAAGCAUAUUAUUUUUUUUACUUGUUUGGAUCCUACCCGAAAUUUAGCCCAAGUCUAAUGUGUUCAUAUUGGAGCCUUGAUUGGGUCCAUAUGGUUUAAUUGGCCUUCUAAUUGGUCAUUAGGCUUAAUCCCAAGUUUAAUUGGGUCUGCUGGAAUUAACUCCACUCAACUGGGUUCGGACCCAAAUCAAUUUGGGCCUAAUUUGGUUCGGAUUUGACCCAAUUUGUAGUUUGGGCUCGUCCAGAUUUAGCCCAAUUAAAUUGGGCUCGGGUUCAGGUUCAAUUGGGUUCAGAUCCCACUCAAUCCCU